ACUUGAUAAAAGGAACUUAGGUCUAAACAAUGACCUUUAAAACUAUAUAUAAACCCUAUAAAACGUCCAGGGACUAAUAAUGCAAAUAGGGAAGUCUUUUGGGGCAAAUUUCCACUUUUGUAAACUUGAAAGCGUAUUGGACUUUUCUGGGCCGAAACUGGUGUCGAUCUCUGAAUCUGAAAUCUGAAAUCAUCCUUAGCUCCCUUUCCUUAGCUUUUGCUCCAAAAUGUCUCCUCAUCUCCAUUGUUGUCCCACUGCAUAGAAUACCUGAAAAGACUCUAAAAAGACUCGAGAAAUAACAAAAAGACUCAAAAUCCUAAACCUAAAACAUAGAUAAAAUCAAUAAAAACAGGGUUAUAUCAACUCCCCCAGACUUAGCUUUUGCUUGCCCUCAAGCAA
RNAcentral lists this small RNA (399 nucleotides) under Arabidopsis thaliana (thale cress). RNAcentral's name for it is "ATSL090550". Lineage: Eukaryota; Viridiplantae; Streptophyta; Magnoliopsida; Brassicales; Brassicaceae. The record is from RNAcentral.